UUUGAGGAGGAUGGGGCCAUACAAGAAAGAAGGGUUUGAAAUGGGAAGAGAAAAUGACUAAAUUGAUGUCGGCUCGGUGGGAGGCAUUAGGAGGAGAUAAUGGGAGACGAGUGGAGGAAAUGAACCAAGCAAAGAAGAAGGGUUGGGUCAUGGAGGGAAGGAAAGUUUUUCUUCUUUCUCUUCUUUUUUUAUUGGGGUUUCAUGGAUGAGAAAAAGAGAGAUAGGAGAUAAGAGAUUUGAGAAGAGGGUGCAUGAGGAGAGUUUAGAGAUGGAGUGGUAAGAAAUAAAGAAGAAAGAGGAAGAUGGAGC
Molecule: long non-coding RNA, 309 nt
Filed under: Elaeis guineensis (African oil palm)
Lineage: Eukaryota; Viridiplantae; Streptophyta; Magnoliopsida; Arecales; Arecaceae
Description: long non-coding RNA (EGUI_LNC025036)
Source: RNAcentral